GGACUAUCGGCUCAAGCCGAUGGAAGUUUGAGGCAAUAACAGGUUGGCACACAGGCCUGUAAAAGUAGGUUUUGACCUGCUAGUCUAGCACCUAAUCUCCGUGAAGAAGUCUUCUUCUACCGGGCGGAGAGAUGCGAAAGCAUUCGGUGUGGGCAACACUACCUGGAACAGGGGACGCUGGAGGCCUUUGGGUACUUGGCCGACCCUGUGGCGAGCUCGAGUAACGUUGAGCCGUCGCAACGCGCGC
RNAcentral lists this ribosomal RNA (247 nucleotides) under Leotiomycetes sp. Its description in RNAcentral is "partial small subunit ribosomal RNA". Lineage: Eukaryota; Fungi; Ascomycota; Leotiomycetes. The record is from RNAcentral.